GGCCUCGUAGCUCAGCUGGUAGACUAUGCACGUACAAAGCGUAGGUGGCGUCCAUGCGUGGGUUCGAAUCCCACCGAGGCUA
RNAcentral lists this transfer RNA (82 nucleotides) under Echinostoma caproni. It matches the Rfam family "tRNA". From Rfam's summary of the family: Transfer RNA (tRNA) molecules are approximately 80 nucleotides in length. Their secondary structure includes four short double-helical elements and three loops (D, anti-codon, and T loops). The record is from Rfam by way of RNAcentral. Lineage: Eukaryota; Metazoa; Platyhelminthes; Trematoda; Plagiorchiida; Echinostomatidae.